GAUGAACGCUGGCGGUAUGCUUAACACAUGCAAGUCGAACGGACUCUUCGGAGUUAGUGGCGGACGGGGGAGUAACGCGUGAGAAUCUGGCUUUGGGUUCGGGACAACCACUGGAAACGGUGGCUAAUACCGGAUGUGCCGAGAGGUAAAAGAGAAAUUGCCUGAAGAUGAGCUCGCGUCUGAUUAGCUAGUUGGUGAGGUAAAGGCCCACCAAGGCAGCGAUCAGUAGCUGGUCUGAGAGGAUGACCAGCCACACUGGGACUGAGACACGGCCCAGACUCCUGCGGGAGGCAGGAGGGGGGAAUUGUCCGCAAUGGGCGAAAGCCUGACGGAGAAAUACCGCGUGAGAGAAGAAGGCUCUUGGGUUGUAACCCUCUUUUCUUAGGGAAGAACAAAAUGACGGUACCUAAGGAAUCAGCAUCGGCUAACUCCGUG
This 435-nucleotide ribosomal RNA is filed under the name uncultured bacterium. Its description in RNAcentral is "partial 16S ribosomal RNA". It matches the Rfam family "Bacterial small subunit ribosomal RNA", at positions 28 to 507 of the family's 1533-position model. The record is from RNAcentral.